Molecule: long non-coding RNA, 1548 nt
Filed under: Daphnia magna
Lineage: Eukaryota; Metazoa; Arthropoda; Branchiopoda; Diplostraca; Daphniidae
Description: uncharacterized LOC123474231
Source: RNAcentral
GUUCGCUUUAGUGGGACGCGUUUGUUUGCAUGUUGCGUCAUUUGGCGUGCAUACUAUAGUAGUACGUACGUAUCCUUUGUUGCCAAGUUUCGGACAGUGAGAGGGGAGAAAGUUGGGGUAUUUUUUUUUGGCCAACGAAUCGGACUUUAGUGCGCAGUAGAUCCUUUUUCCCUCGCGUGUCACGAACAAGUGAAAAGAAAAAAUAAUGUGGCUCCAACAACGUGCUGCAAGGCGGCUGAUCAAGUCGGAGACAAUAUCGGGCGAAAGUGCGCGCGGCUGAUACUCUUAUUAUACUUUUCAUUUUUUUCUGCGUCAUCUUCUCUUUCUUUCUUUUUCUUUUUCAUUCGCCCCCCCAACCUUUUUUUUUUAUUUUGCGAAAGAAAAAUUUGAUUUUCUCAAAUGAACUUUCACUUUGAUUCGUUCGUACACGCUGUGACUUGGUGGAUUCCUAUCCAAUUCUUAUUUCUCUCGCUCUUUUCUUUGUUGUUGGUGUUGCUUUUGCCAACAUUUAUUUGUUUUGGGAAAUUCGUUAUUGAACGGUGGAAGAAGAUGCCACAAUGGCGGGCUACUGGAAGCGGCAACAAUACGUGCUGCCAAAACGGAAAGUGAAAUAAAGUACAAUCAAAAUGAAACACGUCACUAAUUCUUCGGGCCAUUGGUGGCAGAGAGAAAACGACGGCCCUCUGCCCCCCCACUGUCAUUGAACAUUCCAGUUUCACACUUGCGGAAGAAAGAAAAAAAAAAAAUCAGGGGAAAAAUUCAAGCGAGGAUAGGGAUAGAAGACGAAAACAUGCCGUUCAUUUGCCGCCCUCAUUACGUAUUCAAUGUCGCAUUAUGAGUCGUAAAACCGACGAUACCUGCACAUGUUCAAUUCAUUUGAAACAACUUUUUCUUUUUGACCGAGACAUCCUUGUGACAAAGCCGAGCAGAAGGCCAAAGAGAACGCGAUGAGUUCAGAGAAUAAACAAAUGCAUUUAAAACGUGAAGCACAGCUGUUAAGAAGACGAGAAACAAUCCAUUGUUAUUCGGCUGAACGCCCGUAAUAACGAAGCUAUUUCUUUUUUAGAGGGAAAGUGAAGUUUUUUUUUAUUGUUGUUCCUCGUUUGCCCUUUCGUCAGCUGGCCGCCUAAUGCCUGGCUGAAUCAGAACAGAGAAACUUUUUACAUCUUAGAUCUUAGCGAUGCAACUGUUGGAACAAAAGUGAAUGUGGCAAUCCGAAGAGAAGAAUUCAGUUUCACUUCGGACCCAACUGGCAUUUAUGUCGCCCUUUCUUAUAGUGUUAUUAGCAUUUUUAGUAUUUUUAUUUGCAAAUAACAAAUGUCGAACAAUGGAACUGUGUUACAUGUACUAGAGCGUGCAAUUGAAUAUGAUUAUGCUGUUGGAUUCCCUGUCGGCCUUCACUGGGCAAAUGCCAACAAUAAAUCAUAUGGCAUAAUCAACUGACUGCACAAUUCAAUAAGCGAUUGAAUGCGAUUGAAAAAAAAUAUAUAUAUAUACGUAUUUGUAAAUUUUUGUUUUUAGAGAGGUACAUCGGCAUUGUUGAAGUGA